UCCAUUCUGGGCCUGGGCCGGCCACUGC
RNAcentral lists this non-coding RNA (28 nucleotides) under Homo sapiens (human). Lineage: Eukaryota; Metazoa; Chordata; Mammalia; Primates; Hominidae. The record is from RNAcentral.